GAGUUUGAUCAUGGCUCAGAACGAACGCUGGCGGCAGGCUUAACACAUGCAAGUCGAACGACAUAGUGGCAGACGGGUGAGUAACGCGUGGGAACGUGCCUUUCACUACGGAAUAGCUCUUGGAAACGAGUGGUAAUACCGUAUACGCCCUCCGGGGGAAAGAUUUAUCGGUGAAAGAUCGGCCCGCGUUAGAUUAGUUUGUUGGUGGGGUAAUGGCCUACCAAGACUACGAUCUAUAGCUGGUCUGAGAGGAUGAUCAGCCACACUGGGACUGAGACACGGCCCAGACUCCUACGGGAGGCAGCAGUGGGGAAUCUUGCACAAUGGGCGAAAGCCUGAUGCAGCCAUGCCGCGUGAAUGAUGAAGGCCUUAGGGUUGUAAAAUUCUUUCGCUAGGGAUGAUAAUGACAGUACCUAGUAAAGAAGCCCCGGCUAACUUCGUGCCAGCAGCCGCGGUAAUACGAAGGGGGCUAGCGUUGUUCGGAAUUACUGGGCGUAAAGCGCGCGUAGGCGGGCUAUUAAGCCAGAUGUGAAAGCCCGGAGCUCAACUCCGGAACUGCAUUUGGAACUGGUAGCCUAGAGACCAGGAGAGGUUAGCGGAAUACCGAGUGUAGAGGUGAAAUUCGUAGAUAUUCGGUGGAACACCAGUGGCGAAGGCGGCUAACUGGACUGGUACUGACGCUGAGGCGCGAAAGUGUGGGGAGCAAACAGGAUUAGAUACCCUGGUAGUCCACACCGUAAACGAUGAAUGCUAGUUGUCUGCGCGCAUGCGUGCAGGUGACGCAGCUAACGCAUUAAGCAUUCCGCCUGGGGAGUACGGCCGCAAGGUUAAAACUCAAAGAAAUUGACGGGGGCCCGCACAAGCGGUGGAGCAUGUGGUUUAAUUCGAAGCAACGCGCAGAACCUUACCCGCGUUUGACAUGCCCUGUUUGGUUACCAGAGAUGGUUUCCUUCAUUUAGUUGGCAGGUGCACAGGUGCUGCAUGGCUGUCGUCAGCUCGUGUCGUGAGAUGUUGGGUUAAGUCCCGCAACGAGCGCAACCCUUAUCCUUAGUUGCCAGCACGUCUGGGUGGGCACUCUAAGGAAACUGCCGGUGCUAAGCCGGAGGAAGGCGGGGAUGAUGUCAAGUCCUCAUGGCCCUUACACGCGGGGCUACACACGUGCUACAAUGGCAGUGACAAUGGAUAAUCCCCAAAAGCUGUCUCAGUUCAGAUUGUCCUCUGCAACUCGAGGGCAUGAAGUUGGAAUCGCUAGUAAUCGUGGAUCAGCAUGCCACGGUGAAUACGUUCCCGGGCCUUGUACACACCGCCCGUCACAUCAUGGGAGUUGGUUCUACCCGAAGGCUGUGCGCUAACUUAGGAGGCAGCAGACCACGGUAGGAUCAGCGACUGGGAUGAAGUCGUAACAAGGUAACC
Molecule: ribosomal RNA, 1413 nt
Filed under: uncultured bacterium
Lineage: Bacteria
Description: bacterial SSU rRNA
Rfam family: Bacterial small subunit ribosomal RNA
Source: RNAcentral